UCUUUCUUGAUUAUGUGGGUGGUGGUGCAUGGCCGUUCUUAGUUGGUGGAGUGAUUUGUCUGCUUAAUUGCGAUAACGAACGAGACCUUAACCUGCUAAAUAGCCCGGCGAGCUUUUGCUUGUCGCUGGCUUCUUAGAGGGACUAUCGGCUCAAGCCGAUGGAAGUUUGAGGCAAUAACAGGUCUGUGAUGCCCUUAGAUGUUCUGGGCCGCACGCGCGCUACACUGACAGAGCCAACGAGUGUAAGCCUUGACCGAGAGGUCUGGGUAAUCUUGUUAAACUCUGUCGUGCUGGGGAUAGAGCAUUGCAAUUAUUGCUCUUCAACGAGGAAUAUCUAGUAAGCGCAAGUCAUCAGCUUGCGUUGAUUACGUCCCUGCCCUUUGUACACACCGCCCGUCGCUACUACCGAUUGAAUGGCUCAGUGAGGCCUUCGGACUGGCUCAGGGAGGUCGGCAACGACCACCCAGAGCCGGAAAGUUGGUCAAACUUGGUCAUUUAGAGGAAGUAAAAGUCGUAACAAGGUUUGAGUAAGAUCCUUCUGUAGGUGACGCUUAUGAGAAGCCUUUGUGGCCCCGCAAGGGGUACCUGCCGCGACUGUAAAGAAGAAUGCUGGUAUUAAAUCGCAAGUCAGCACCUGCUGGCGACAUUUUCGAAUUGCGGGAACACCCUAAAGCCCACUUCUACCAACCGGUCAGAGAAAUCUGGCUGGGGCCACUGCCAACAGCACUGGGUAAGGUAAAAAUGAAGCGGGAUAGACCAGUUCUGCUGGUGACAUGGGCAAUCCGCAGCCAAGUCCCUAACGCACAAUGUGCCAUGGGAAAGGUUCACAGACUAAGUGGAAAUGGGCUGGAUACCCAGCUUAAGAUAUAGUCGGGCCCCAACUGAAAAUUUGGGGGAGUCACCAUUGCUAUAACCGUUCCGUAGGUGAACCUGCGGAAGGAUCAUUAAACAGCGGGCUUGCACCGUGAACGCGCUCCGCACGGGUUUGGGCCCAGCGGAAGUGUGAACCAACUGUGAACCGAAAAACCUUUGCUCGGGUAGCAUGUCCGGUCAGGUUCCAACCGAACCGGCUCUGUCAGCCUGCCCGUGCGCCCAACCAAACCUAGCAUUCUGUGCUGUCUGGUGAAAUUUUCUGAAUGGAAAAUUAAAACUUUCAACAACGGAUCUCUUGGUUCUCGCAUCGAUGAAGAACGCAGCGAAACGCGAUAGUUAAUGUGAAUUGCAGAAUUCAGUGAAUCAUCGAGUCUUUGAACGCACAUUGCGCCCUUCGGUAUUCCGGAGGGCAUGUCUGUUUGAGCGUCAUGUCAACCCUCGCCCCCAAAGGCGGUUUUGGGCACCGGCUUAGCUGACGGGUCUUAAAGUUGAACGCUCUGCGGGCGACUGCUCCGGCGAACAUGGUAGCUAACUUCUGUUCCAACCGGCUGCUGCUUGCCCUGCCUGAACAAGAACCAAACUCAAGGUUUGACCUCAGAUCAGACAAGGAUACCCGCUGAACUUAAGCAUAUCAAUAAGCGGAGGAAAAGAAACCAACAGGGAUUGCCUCAGUAACGGCGAGUGAAGCGGCAAGAGCUCAAAUUUGAAAUCUGGGGUCUUCGGCCUCCGAGUUGUAAUUUGAAGAGGACGCCUCGGUUGCGGUCGCGGUCCAAGUUCCUUGGAACAGGAUGUCGCGGAGGGUGAGAAUCCCGUACACGGCUGACGGCCUGCAACCAUGUGUGGCGCGUUCGAAGAGUCGAGUUGUUUGGGAAUGCAGCUCAAAAUGGGUGGUAAAUUUCAUCUAAAGCUAAAUACUGGCGAGAGACCGAUAGCGCACAAGUAGAGUGAUCGAAAGAUGAAAAGCACUUUGAAAAGAGAGUUAAACAGUACGUGAAAUUGUUGAAAGGGAAGCGCUUGCAACCAGACUCGCUGGCGGUUGAUCAUUGUUCCUUCUGGUUCAUGCACUCUGCCGCCCGCGGGCCAGCAUCGGUUGGGACGGCGGGACAAAGACGUCGGGAAUGUAGCUCCCUCCGGGGAGUGUUAAGCCCUUCGUGCAAUGCCGCCUGCCCCGAUCGAGGACC
This 2054-nucleotide ribosomal RNA is filed under the name Orbilia crenatomarginata. RNAcentral's name for it is "eukaryotic LSU rRNA". The stretch from base 1 to 539 matches the Rfam family "Eukaryotic small subunit ribosomal RNA", at positions 1256 to 1831 of the family's 1831-position model. Lineage: Eukaryota; Fungi; Ascomycota; Orbiliomycetes; Orbiliales; Orbiliaceae. The record is from RNAcentral.